UCCAGACUCCUACGGGAGGCAGCAGUGAGGAAUAUUGGUCAAUGGGCGGGAGCCUGAACCAGCCAAGUCGCGUGAGGGAUGACGGCCCUAUGGGUUGUAAACCUCUUUUGCCGGGGAGCAAAGUGCCGCACGUGUGCGGUUUGGAGAGUACCCGGAGAAAAAGCAUCGGCUAACUCCGUGCCAGCAGCCGCGGUAAUACGGAGGAUGCGAGCGUUAUCCGGAUUUAUUGGGUGUAAAGGGCGUGUAGGCGGGCUGACAAGUCAGAUGUGAAAUUCCGGGGCUCAACCCCGGACCUGCAUUUGAAACUGUUGGUCUUGAGUAUCGGAGAGGCAGGCGGAAUUCCUAGUGUAGCGGUGAAAUGCGUAGAUAUUAGGAGGAACACCAGUGGCGAAGGCGGCCUGCUGGACGACAACUGACGGUGAGGCGCGAAAGCGUGGGGAGCAAACAGGAUUAGAUACCCUGGUACA
Molecule: ribosomal RNA, 467 nt
Filed under: uncultured bacterium
Lineage: Bacteria
Description: partial 16S ribosomal RNA
Rfam family: Bacterial small subunit ribosomal RNA
Source: RNAcentral